AGAACGAACGCUGGCGGCAUGCCUAAUACAUGCAAGUCGAACGAACUCUUCGGAGUUAGUGGCGCACGGGUGCGUAACGCGUGGGAAUCUGCCCCUUGGUUCGGAAUAACAGUUGGAAACGACUGCUAAUACCGGAUGAUGACGAAAGUCCAAAGAUUUAUCGCCAAGGGAUGAGCCCGCGUAGGAUUAGCUAGUUGGUGAGGUAAAGGCUCACCAAGGCAACGAUCCUUAGCUGGUCUGAGAGGAUGAUCAGCCACACUGGGACUGAGACACGGCCCAGACUCCUACGGGAGGCAGCAGUAGGGAAUAUUGGACAAGUGGGACGAAAGCCUGAUCCAGCAAUGCCGCGUGAGUGAUGGAAGGUCCGUUAGGGG
RNAcentral lists this ribosomal RNA (374 nucleotides) under uncultured soil bacterium. RNAcentral describes it as "bacterial SSU rRNA". It matches the Rfam family "Bacterial small subunit ribosomal RNA", at positions 26 to 423 of the family's 1533-position model. The record is from RNAcentral.